Molecule: ribosomal RNA, 401 nt
Filed under: uncultured bacterium
Lineage: Bacteria
Description: bacterial SSU rRNA
Rfam family: Bacterial small subunit ribosomal RNA
Source: RNAcentral
GGGGAAUAUUGCGCAAUGGGGGGAACCCUGACGCAGCAACGCCGCGUGGAGGAAGAAGGUCUUCGGAUUGUAAACUCCUGUCUUCUGGGACGAAGUAUGACGGUACCAGAGGAGGAAGCCACGGCUAACUACGUGCCAGCAGCCGCGGUAAUACGUAGGUGGCGAGCGUUGUCCGGAAUUACUGGGCGUAAAGGGCGCGUAGGCGGCUUUUUAAGUUAGAUGUGAAAACCCGGGGCUUAACUUCGGGCGUGCAUUUAAAACUGGAGAGCUUGAGUGCAGGAGAGGUAAGUGGAAUUCCUAGUGUAGCGGUGAAAUGCGUAGAUAUUAGGAGGAACACCAGUGGCGAAGGCGACUUACUGGACUGUAACUGACGCUGAGGCGCGAAAGCGUGGGGAGCAAAC